UUAAUCUUGGCAAGUAAAGAAUUCAGCCUCUUUUUCUCUCCUCUCCUCCUAUAAAUUGAGGGGUUUGAUCCAUUAUUUCACUCUCUCACACACACACACACACACAAAACGAAAAGAAAAGAAAACAUAGACAAGUAUUUUCAAUGCUUUGUACCAAUUUUUCUAUAAUUUUUUAUAAAAGAUUUUAUUCGGUAAUUUCAAGUCAGUGUCAAUAGCUACCACAGGAAGGAAAAACACUAAGGUAUGCAUUCAAAACAAGUUCUAUAUCUGUUUUCAUUGUUGUUUAUUUACUAUUUACUAUUUACUAUUUACUAUUUACUAUUUAAUCUUUUUUCAUCAAUAACAUUAUUAAUUUGUUUCAACAAUAUUUGGAUAAGCAAUUAGAUAUAUGCAUGGAUUAGUAAUAUCAAUUAGUACAUACUAGUUGCCAUAAAAACAAUAAUACUUGUUUGUGUUGGAAUAAAUUUUUGCUUCAUGUCUUCGAUGUCUUGUUGAAUAUUGUAAUAUCACUUUUAUAUAUCAUCAAAUGUGUUACAUUGUAAUAUCA
Cicer arietinum (chickpea) is the source of this 547-nucleotide non-coding RNA. The record is from RefSeq and is a predicted model, not a curated record. Lineage: Eukaryota; Viridiplantae; Streptophyta; Magnoliopsida; Fabales; Fabaceae.